RNAcentral lists this ribosomal RNA (444 nucleotides) under Triticum aestivum (bread wheat). RNAcentral describes it as "partial small subunit ribosomal RNA". The record is from RNAcentral. Lineage: Eukaryota; Viridiplantae; Streptophyta; Magnoliopsida; Poales; Poaceae.
AUGGGGGCGGUUCUGAGAGACGACAAAGGUAGGUUUAUCGUUGGAGGAAAUGAAAAGAUUAAGUAUUGUGCGGAUGUUGUGACGGCGGAAGCCUUAGCUCCCAAAUUUGGCCUAACACUGACGCAAAGGGCGGGCUGUAAUCACCUUAUUAUUAAUUCAGACAACCUGAAAAUGAUUGACACCAUGCAGGAAGGAGGACAGAGUCGGCGGGCAAUUUUGGAUGAUUGUUUUUACUAUGCAUGUGAUUUUAUUACGAUUAGAUUCGAACAUUGUAAUAGAAAGGCAAAUAAAGUAGCUCAUGAACUCGCUCGAAUAGCUAGAUUUUCUUCUACCUUGAAUUGGUUCGAGGAGCCUUCAAAUGGAAUUGUAAUGAUCCUCACGAACAAUUUACUGAUUAUUUCUAAUAAUCUCGUCUUAUUUAAAAGAAAAGGAAAAAUGCAGUAA